Brassica napus (rape) is the source of this 2009-nucleotide long non-coding RNA. RefSeq lists it as uncharacterized. The record is from RefSeq and is a predicted model, not a curated record. Lineage: Eukaryota; Viridiplantae; Streptophyta; Magnoliopsida; Brassicales; Brassicaceae. The transcript has 2 exons.
UUUUGUUGUUUUUGUGUUAGAUUUUUUGUUGUUGUUGUGUUGCUCUGUUCUGGGUUCUUCGCUUAGCAAUUGGCUUGUGGUUAAGUAUUUUCUUUAGUUUAAAGCUCUUGAAUCUAGGAAGAAGGAAAUCUAAGAUUCGUGAAAUAGAUAUUGGUUGUAUAAUGUUGGAUCUGCUUCUUGCUGUUUAGUUCAGAAAACGUAAACUGCUUUGUUGAUUCAUCAAGUUAUUUGGUUUGGUGUUUAUGUGUUAAAAGACUGACAAAGCUAUUGAGAGAUGCAGAGAACUUCGUUAGGCUUUAUGAUGAUAGCAAAGUAUUAAAUUUAAACUCCAAAACACUUACUUUAAUUUCUUAUGCCAUUAGUCAAAUAAAAUGCAGAAAUACCAUAACUUUUAUGAAAAUAACUAUUUUAUCUACUUUUUUUUACAAUUACAAAAAAUGGUUUUAAAGAUUAAAUUUAGGGUUUAGGGUUAGAGUUAGGGUUUAUGUUUAGGGUUUAGGUCAUAUUAAUAUUUUAAAACUUAAAACACUAAAUCCUAAAUAUAAAGUAUAAUCUAAAAUUUUCAAAUUUUAUUUUAAAUCUUACUUUUAGUCUAUAUUCCAAACUUCAAGCUUUACAACCAAAUAUAUUUUUAAUACUUAAACUCUAAACUUCACCCUAAAUCAUAUACCAUAGCCCCUAAGCUUAAACCCUACAUACAAAGUCAUAAAUCUUAUCUUUUCAAACUUAUAACAUAAAUCUAAUUAAUCUUUCAAUUCUAGUUUUAAAAUUUUAAUGUCAAACCCUUAACCCUAAUCACAUAUCAUUUCAUUUUUCUUGAUAUUCACUUUACAAAGGUGUGGAUCACCUUUCAUUUUAAUGUUAAAGUAUAUACAUUUUUAAUCCUAAAAUUUAAAUUAUAGAUUAUUUUGUUUUUUUUUCAUAUUAUAGCUUCCAAACAUUUAAACUAAACCAUUAAGAAAGAAAAAAAAAGUACAAAAACAAAGGAAAAAAACUCACUAGUUAAUAAAUAAAUAUUUGGAUUGCAAAUAUGAGCCAAUUAGAUACAAGUGUGUGGAUCACAAUCUUGGUCAUUCAUUAAACUGAAUCUAAAGGUCCCCAAUCGUUCUCUUCUGAUUGGUUCAUUUAGAAAAAUGGGAUCACCCAUAUUUAAUCAUGGCCGUUGAUGAGUAUCGAUCUAAAAGCUUAAAUUAACCUACUUUAAUUAAUUGUUUUUAAUUUUUUUCUUCUUUCUCUCCUCGAGACUUGAUCUUUUCUCUUCUCUCUUUCUCUAGUUCGCCCUAAAGUUCGUCUUUCUAUUGUUAGUUCAUCUCUGUUAGGCUCUUUUCUGUACUCUAGAUUCCUUUUCUCUGGAGGGUUUAGAUCUUUGGUUUGGAGGCGAGUGGAGACGCGUGGAGAGGAACUCCUUCUCCUGGGGGUUUGAUUAGUCGGAUCCCACUGGCUCAGAUGUGCUUUUGUCUGUAUUAGGUCUCCUUUGACCGGAUUUCUUUGAUAAACUGAAGAUCUGCUUUUCUCUCCAUCUCUCUCGACGGUUGGAUGAUGUUACUCUCAUCAAAUGAGAAAUCCUAUAAGAUUCUGCCUUUAUACAGAUCUUAUCCAAGCACAAGCUUGUACAUGAGGUGCUUUUUGGUCUUCUAUUAACAACGACAAGUACUUGUGGUCGUGGUCUCGGCGUCAACAAUGGUGGUCUCGGCAUCAGCAGUGGUGGUCUCGACUUCGUCAGUGGUCGUCUCGACUUCGUCAGUGGUCGUCUCGACUUCGUCAAUGGUAGCUUAGCGCGGUGGAGGAGGCUGAAUAAGCUUUACUGUGUGGUGUUCUUGGCUGGUGGUGUCGGCCUCAAAGAUGAAGAAUAUGAAGGAGUUGAAGUUGACGGCAAAAAGUUUAGAUGUAGGGUUAAUUUUUUUAUUAGGUUAAUCUUUUUAGGUUUACAUUUGCAAACCGGGUUUUGUAAAGCAGAAUUUAUUUGUAAACCAUAAUUAAUUAUAUUUGGUGGUUUAAUUUUUAAUUAA